UACGGAGGGUGCAAGCGUUAUCCGGAUUCACUGGGUUUAAAGGGUGCGUAGGUGGGCAGGUAAGUCAGUGGUGAAAUCUCCGGGCUUAACUCGGAAACUGCCAUUGAUACUAUCUGUCUUGAAUACCGUGGAGGUUAGCGGAAUAUGUCAUGUAGCGGUGAAAUGCUUAGAUAUGACAUAGAACACCAAUUGCGAAGGCAGCUGGCUACACGAAUAUUGACACUGAUGCAUGAAAGCGUGGGGAUCAAACAGG
Molecule: ribosomal RNA, 253 nt
Filed under: uncultured bacterium
Lineage: Bacteria
Description: partial 16S ribosomal RNA
Rfam family: Bacterial small subunit ribosomal RNA
Source: RNAcentral